CUGCAGCUCCGCUGGGGGCCGUUGCACUGUAAGAGAUUGAGUAGAAGGUCUCACAGUGAACCGGUCUCUUUUGGUGCUGCCUG
RNAcentral lists this microRNA precursor (83 nucleotides) under Scleropages formosus (Asian bonytongue). RNAcentral describes it as "mir-128 microRNA precursor family". It matches the Rfam family "mir-128 microRNA precursor family". Lineage: Eukaryota; Metazoa; Chordata; Actinopteri; Osteoglossiformes; Osteoglossidae. The record is from Rfam by way of RNAcentral.